Musa acuminata AAA Group (dessert banana) is the source of this 438-nucleotide long non-coding RNA. RefSeq lists it as uncharacterized. The transcript has 2 exons. NCBI's taxonomy places the organism in Eukaryota, Viridiplantae, Streptophyta, Magnoliopsida, Zingiberales, Musaceae. The record is from RefSeq and is a predicted model, not a curated record.
GCACAGAUAAAAGUUACUCUGUCAACAAUGAGCUUUCCCAUUUCUCCUCCUCCCAACCCUCUCCCUUGUCGUCGUGUCGUCUCCUGAGGCUGGCAUUCUCAAACCCUCAUUUCUUCUCAACUCCUGUCAACCCGACUCCUGCUUCCCGGAUUCAGUCGUCCUCUAAUCUAGAGCUCAUGCUCGAUAACAAGGAGGUCGAUGAUGCUCGUAAGGCUUGAUUUUUGUUAGAAAACGGCGCAUCUCAUCUACAUGUCAUAUUGAUACUGGACGGGGUACAGUCUCCAACUUGUUUUUGAAUCCAUUUUUGAGCAUGUGGAAGGGUUCGAGGGAGUGCUGGCUUGUUAUCAUCAUCAAUUUUUUAUAGACUUUGUAGAAUGAACGAAAUAAUUAUCGUUUUCGUAAUCGUAAAGACCAAGGGUGAUCUCUCUGGUUUAGUAA